Molecule: long non-coding RNA, 549 nt
Filed under: Mus spretus (western wild mouse)
Lineage: Eukaryota; Metazoa; Chordata; Mammalia; Rodentia; Muridae
Description: RIKEN cDNA 9330158H04 gene (ENSMSPG00010032435.1)
Source: RNAcentral
UUCUUCACCCGAGUGCCGGGGAAGUAGUAAUUAGUGUCUGGGAGCUGCGCUCCUCCACUUCUCCCAGUGCCUCUGGCGAUUUCCAAGUGGGAUCUGCGACUUCAGGGCUCUGGCCAAGCCCGCAGGCUGGCGUGAUUAGUUGCUGUUGAAGGGGGCUCCGCCAAUGAAAUCUUCUCUGCGUUCUGAUUUGGCGGUUCUUCGGUGCAAAUAUGACAGCUUUCUCUCUCAGCUCUUUUCUGCAUCUCUCCAUGUCCGACCCCGGAGCCCAGUUCUCGGUCUGCAAUUUCUACACCACAACCUUUGCAAUCACCACCACCCCUAGGUCCCAUGUCAGCAGGUGCCAGGUUGCUACAAAGGUGACAGGGCACAUUGGGAAGAAGGCUUGUUGAUUGCAGAAGAUACUUAUGCCCCGUGUUUCCAGGUCGAUGCCUGUGUGUUCCAUCAGUUAAUGGGGAGUAGUAGUUAAGAGAGUGUACUAGUGAGGCGAUGGUGAGGUGGGAUUUUGCUGUCUAUCGAGGAAAAUAAAAGAUGUGAACUUCCUGUGUUCAG